GAUGAAGAACGCAGCGAAAUGCGAUAAGUAAUGUGAAUUGCAGAAUUCAGUGAAUCAUCGAAUCUUUGAACGCACAUUGCGCCCGCCAGUAUUCUGGCGGGCAUGCCUGUUCGAGCGUCAUUACAACCCUCAGGCCCCCGGGCCUGGCGUUGGGGAUCGGCGGAAGCCCCCUGCGGGCACAACGCCGUCCCCCAAAUACAGUGGCGGUCCCGCCGCAGCUUCCAUUGCGUAGUAGCUAACACCUCGCAACUGGAGAGCGGCGCGGCCACGCCGUAAAACACCCAACUUCUGAAUGUUGACCUCGAAUCAGGUAGGAAUACCCGCUGAACUGAAGCAUAUCAAUAAGCGGAGGA
RNAcentral lists this unclassified non-coding RNA (353 nucleotides) under soil metagenome. RNAcentral's name for it is "partial contains 5.8S ribosomal RNA, internal transcribed spacer 2, and large subunit ribosomal RNA". The stretch from base 1 to 120 matches the Rfam family "5.8S ribosomal RNA", at positions 35 to 154 of the family's 154-position model. The record is from RNAcentral.